RNAcentral lists this ribosomal RNA (529 nucleotides) under uncultured bacterium. Its description in RNAcentral is "bacterial SSU rRNA". It matches the Rfam family "Bacterial small subunit ribosomal RNA", at positions 777 to 1304 of the family's 1533-position model. The record is from RNAcentral.
AAUAGAUACCCUGGUAGUCCACGCCGUAAACGAUGAGUGCUAAGUGUUAGAGGGUUUCCGCCCUUUAGUGCUGCAGCUAACGCAUUAAGCACUCCGCCUGGGGAGUACGGCCGCAAGGCUGAAACUCAAAGGAAUUGACGGGGGCCCGCACAAGCGGUGGAGCAUGUGGUUUAAUUCGAAGCAACGCGAAGAACCUUACCAGGUCUUGACAUCCUCUGCCAACCCUAGAGAUAGGGCGUUCCCCUUCGGGGGACAGAGUGACAGGUGGUGCAUGGUUGUCGUCAGCUCGUGUCGUGAGAUGUUGGGUUAAGUCCCGCAACGAGCGCAACCCUUGAUCUUAGUUGCCAGCAUUCAGUUGGGCACUCUAAGGUGACUGCCGGUGACAAACCGGAGGAAGGUGGGGAUGACGUCAAAUCAUCAUGCCCCUUAUGACCUGGGCUACACACGUGCUACAAUGGAUGGUACAAAGAGCUGCGAACCCGCGAGGGUAAGCCAAUCUCAUAAAGCCAUUCUCAGUUCGGAUUGUAGG